RNAcentral lists this ribosomal RNA (253 nucleotides) under uncultured bacterium. RNAcentral's name for it is "partial 16S ribosomal RNA". It matches the Rfam family "Bacterial small subunit ribosomal RNA", at positions 524 to 776 of the family's 1533-position model. The record is from RNAcentral.
UACGAAGGGGGCUAGCGUUGCUCGGAAUCACUGGGCGUAAAGGGUGCGUAGGCGGGUCUUUAAGUCAGGGGUGAAAUCCUGGAGCUCAACUCCAGAACUGCCUUUGAUACUGAGGAUCUUGAGUCCGGGAGAGGUGAGUGGAACUGCGAGUGUAGAGGUGAAAUUCGUAGAUAUUCGCAAGAACACCUGUGGCGAAGGCGGCUCACUGGCCCGGUACUGACGCUGAGGCACGAAAGCGUGGGGAGCAAACAGG